This is a long non-coding RNA of Odocoileus virginianus texanus, 579 nucleotides long. RefSeq lists it as uncharacterized. Lineage: Eukaryota; Metazoa; Chordata; Mammalia; Artiodactyla; Cervidae. The record is from RefSeq and is a predicted model, not a curated record.
GCCCCCUGGUUCUGGGGGCUGGCAGGACUGAGGGGCCCGCACAGUCUGUUUCUGGCGGAGGGCCUCUUUCUGGCCUCAGGUGGCCGUCUUCGGUCCUCCCCGGUGGAGAGAGGGCCCUCUGUCUUCCUCUCCUCACAAGGGUGCUGAUCCCACCACAGAAGCCGCACCCUCAGACCUCAUCUCAACAGCUGGAGGCUUUUAUCCUCCACUUUAUCGCCAGGAGGGGUGUAUUCUACAAAGCUCUUGAACCUCAGAGUCCCUGGACUGCCCCACGUCUCUGACGCCUUUGGGAAUCUCCCUCCACCUCCGGCCAUCACUCCUGCCUCCACUCUUGCUUUCCUCUCGAAGGUGUUACCCCACACAACUGCCCCAACAUGUGAAGUGAACACGAACAGUCACCAGAAACACCAGAAUAGCUCCACACUUUCCUACGCAUUGGGCACUGUUUUGUCACUGCUUUAUUGUUUUGCAACCAAACACGAAGAGGAAAUUAGUAUGUUGAGAUCAGCUGUGUGAAAAUAGCAACUAUGAAUUCAAGAAAGACAAAAGGAAUAAAAUUCUAUGAAAAAAUUAAGCUGA